RNAcentral lists this ribosomal RNA (425 nucleotides) under uncultured bacterium. Its description in RNAcentral is "bacterial SSU rRNA". It matches the Rfam family "Bacterial small subunit ribosomal RNA", at positions 359 to 777 of the family's 1533-position model. The record is from RNAcentral.
GAAUUGUUCGCAAUGGGCGCAAGCCUGACGACGCAACGCCGCGUGGAGGAUGAAGGUCUUCGGAUUGUAAACUCCUGUUGCCCGGGACGAAACGCUCCGACCUAACGCGUCGGAGUCUGACGGUACCGGGUGAGGAAGCCCCGGCUAACUCUGUGCCAGCAGCCGCGGUAAUACAGAGGGGGCUAGCGUUGUUCGGAAUUACUGGGCGUAAAGGGCGCGUAGGUGGCCUGCUAAGUCGAACGUGAAAUCCCCGGGCUCAACCCGGGAACUGCGCCCGAGACUGGCAGGCUCGAAUCCGGGAGAGGGAUGUGGAAUUCCAGGUGUAGCGGUGAAAUGCGUAGAUAUCUGGAGGAACACCGGUGGCGAAGGCGGCAUCCUGGACCGGUAUUGACGCUGAGGCGCGAAAGCCAGGGGAGCAAACGGGA